AUAACAAUAUCGAGCUCUUUGAGUCUAGUAAUUGGAAUGAGUACAAUCUAAAUCCCUUAACGAGAAUCCAUUAGAGGGCAAGUCUAGUGCCGGCAAUCGCGGUAAUUCUAGCUCCAA
Molecule: non-coding RNA, 117 nt
Filed under: Eucalyptus grandis
Lineage: Eukaryota; Viridiplantae; Streptophyta; Magnoliopsida; Myrtales; Myrtaceae
Description: Eukaryotic small subunit ribosomal RNA
Rfam family: Eukaryotic small subunit ribosomal RNA
Source: Rfam by way of RNAcentral